Molecule: ribosomal RNA, 253 nt
Filed under: uncultured bacterium
Lineage: Bacteria
Description: partial 16S ribosomal RNA
Rfam family: Bacterial small subunit ribosomal RNA
Source: RNAcentral
UACGUAGGGGGCGAGCGUUGUCCGGAAUUAUUGGGCGUAAAGAGCUUGUAGGCGGUCUGUCGCGUCUGCUGUGAAAAUCCGGGGCUCAACCCCGGACUUGCAGUGGGUACGGGCAGACUAGAGUGUGGUAGGGGAGACUGGAAUUCCUGGUGUAGCGGUGAAAUGCGCAGAUAUCAGGAGGAACACCGAUGGCGAAGGCAGGCCUCUGGGCCAUAACUGACGCUGAGAAGCGAAAGCAUGGGGAGCGAACAGG